CCUGCAGAAAAGGACGACACCCACCUCACCCUCGCAGCAACCCCCUUCUACACCCGCCUCCACGGAACCCUGAUCCUGGCUCCCCUUCUCUCCGACCCCAGGGGCUCCUGGGAUCGCGCUCCUCCUUCUCCCCAGCCCUCACCAUCCGGCAGCCUCUUCUGCCUCUGUUCCGCCGCCCUCUGGCUUCACUAUGGAACCCCCUGCUGCCCCUGGCCCCCUGUCUCUCCCCUCUGGGGCCCCUCUAUCCCUCCUCGGCUCCCCAGUCGACACCUUCGCCCCGCCCUGCACUUCUCUCCACUUCUCACAUUUCUCCUCCUGCCCCCUCUCUCUACCCUCCUCUGUCCCAUGACUAUGAAUUUCACAGAGAAGCCUGUUUAUUUAGGUGACACCAAGUGGGAGACACACGAAACCGUUCCCCUAGCAUGGUUUGCCAAGUGGUGCAUAGGUCCCUACCCAGGAUCCGAACUGGCGAACCCGGGCCCGCAGAAGCAGAACGUGUGAACUUAACCACUACGCCAUCAGUUGGCCCCAGCAGUUGUGUUUUAACAAGCCCUCCUGGUGAUUUCUGAUAUGCCCUAGGCUGAAAACCACUGCCCGAGAUGUUCCGUGACAUAUUAGCUCCCUUCUUCAUAGGGUGAAUGGCGUCUGAGACCCCAAACCGGAGCAGACCAUGUGUCUGAAUGCAGAAGCUGAGCCCCAGAGCCCAGGGCCCCAGCAGCCUGAGAGAAAGUGCCCUAAGGAGACCCCUGCCAGGCAGGCGGGAGCAAAGGAAGAGAAGGCAGGACAGAUCUCCAGCUCCCUAUCUCCUGUGGGACCCUUUGACCCCUCAGCUGUCACAACUGACCUUUUCCAACUUCUCCUACCAGAGGCCCCACCCCCCACCAUGAAGCCCCUUUCCAGCCUGGAAUGUGAACUCCCCUUUCCGUGCCCCAAAUGUGGGAAGCGCUUCAGCCAGGGGGCCCGGCCUGACCCUGUACCUACACUCCCACACGGGUGACAGGCCCUGCUCCUGCAGCCAGUGUGGCCACAGCUCCUACCUGCCCCAGCCCCUGACACACAUGCCCACCAGUGUAGCAAGGGCUUCUCCCAAGAGCUCUGGCCAGCUGCAGCACACCACUGUUCACACAGGCACAUGGCCCUACGUCUGUGUCACCUGUGGAUGGGGUUCAGGAGCCACCCAGCCUCGUCUAUCGUGAGAAGACUCACUUAGUGAGCACGGCUUCCCCUGCCCCGAGUGUGGCAAGCACUUCACCCAGAGUGUCCGCUGAGCCCAGCACCUACGGACGCUCACAGGGGAGAAGCCCUACCUGUGCGGCUAGUGUGGCCAUGGCUUCAGCCAGCACCCCUGGCUCGUGGUCCACCAGUGGGUCCACCACUUGGUUCCUCUGCUAUCCCUGCCGGUCCACACCUGCUAGGUGUGCUCUUCCCUCCGGUGCGGGCAGUAGCCUGCUGCCACACAGUGCAGCACAUGAGAAGCCCUUCUUCUGCCCCCAGUAUCCCGAGGGCUCUGGCUACUCCAACCUGCAACACCACCAGCAGGACCACGGGGGGAGCGGCCCCACCACUGUGACCAGUGCAGCAAGGGCUUCAGACAGAGCUCAGGGCUGUGUGGCACCAGGGAGUCCACAGGGGCAAGACUGCGAGUGCAGCUUCCGGUCCAGCUCCGGCCUGGCCCAGCACCUGCAGGGCCGCUCUGGGGAAAGGCCCUUCUGCUCUGGCGGCUGUGGCUUCACUCAGAGUCCCCAUCGACCUUGACAACAGGCCAGGGCUGGUGAGGAGCACAGGGAUGAACAUGGAGGGGGGGACAUCUGGAGGCCAAGUCAAGGCCCCUGUGGGGAGCCAGCCCCCCAACUCCACAGCACUCUAGGAGGGCAGAGGGGCAGUUGGAAUGACUGCCUCUUUUGUGGGAGGCAUAAUGGAGCACAGCUCCCACCACACCCCAGCCAGAGCAACUUUCAGAGCAACCACAUUGGGUGGCCAGAGUGUCUCUGCUGGACCUACUCAAAGCUGGAAUGGCCAGGUCCACCUCACUUCUAGUCCAACGUGCCAGUUCCCCAGAGAGCUCCCGGCCUGGGAAAGAGCUCUCCCUGUUUCUUAGAAAGGACUCUGUACUUCUGAUCUUCUGUCCUCCGUCUGAGAAAUUUAACCAGGAUGUCUGGGUCCUACUGCCUCAUGGAUGGAUCCGAUUCCCUGGGAUUUUUUUGAAGGGAUCAUUUCAAAGAGAUAACUGAAUCCCCAUAGAGCUCCAUGACAACGCCCACCAUCAAAUCCUAGUCCCCCACUAACCCCUCCAACCCUCUCAUUUCCCCCGAGGCUUCUGGGUGCUUCUUGCCUCUGGUGCUAAAGCUACACCCAGCACACCUGUCUGAUGCUGCCAUCUCCCUAUGCCUACUCCUGGCCUCGCUAGGCCCUGUUUCAGGACCUCAGGGCUUCCUAAAACCUUCAUUGCACUUCAGUCUAGGAAUAAAGCCCAGAUGGAGGCUGCUCUUUCCAGCUGUACAGAGGCCUCCUAUUGAAAGGUGCAAAAGGGCAGAGGCAGGUGUCCAAGGAGAGGGCAGGGAUGUGGAGGAGAUGGAGACCGGAGGAAAAGCCAAGGGAGAUUGGAGGAGAAAGUGGGAGGUUCUGGAAUGUGGAGAAAAGACAGCAGGGCUGUGUGAGACAAGACACACAAGAAACAUCUCAGAAAAACUUAGAAACAAAUGUCUUCAGGUACGAACAUCCCCGGGGAACCACUCAUUUCUUCUUCAGUUGACAAGUUUCCCCCAGUGUUGUGAAGGCACUGAGUUGCCAACACAAUCACUUCAUGUCCUGCCAUUUGCACUUUUUCCACAAAAUUGCUUGCUAACUGUCUUCUUCGUGUGUUGGCAAACUGAUUUUGAACAAAGAGUCAGGAGGGAGUCCCACAGCAGAGUCCCUUCCAGACUGGUGCCCCGGCCCAGCCUGGCACUGAGGAGAGCACUGUCAUCAUUCACCCUUUUAGAAGGUUCUGCUGGGGGAGUCACUCCCUGGCAACACUCACAGCAAGUUUAUGGUUACUGUUCAUGUUAAAGGAUAAGGUAGACCUCAGCUCUUGUAUUAACUUCCCCCAAAGUAUACUCUUUAGAACUGGGCAGAGUCCUCCCUAGGAGGUAUCAGAGGCUGAUUACUGACACACACACGAAGGAAUUAAAGAACUGGAGGGAUAAAAGGGUCACUGAGAGACUGCUAAUCAGUUUCACCCUUUCAGGAAAUAUGUAUUGAGUCCACCACGUGUCAGGGACUGUUCUGGGACCUGGGUAUUACAAACAGGCAUAUGAUGCAGCCCCCGCCUUCCACCGAUUUGAUCUAGGCGUGUUCAGCAUCUCAAUAUUGAACCCAGCAUCUAGUCCUAUCAAUUGUAUCCACUAUAAUCUCUCUCAAGUAUGUCGUCUCUUUCCCACCCCUCCACCUCCCUUGUCCAGCUACCACCUGGACCAUCUGGUUCUCCUCUGAAUCAUCGUGAUGGCUGGAGAGGCUGGGAAUGGCGUUCUCUGUGAGCAGCACACCUGAGUAACAGAGGCCUCUUUGAAAUGUAAAUCUGAUUGUUUCAGGCACCCUGCUUAAGCCCAUUCAAUGGUUUCCCAUUGAUCUCAGGUUAAAGACCCCAGUCCUUAACCUGGCCUUUAAAGCUCUGCGAGGUGUGGCCGUGCCGGCCUCUCCAGCCUCAUCUCCCACCACUCACUCCUCUCUCCCUCUCGCAGAGCGCUCCACUUCCUGUCGGUGUCCCGCUUCCUCCCGCAGAGAGCGGCGGCCAGGCUGGGCCCUCCUCCUGAGAGGCGCUUUCUUCCAUUUCUCUCUUAGCUCCUCAUUCUUCGGAUCUCAGCUCCUUUACCACAUCCUUAGGGAAGGUACCCUAUCCUUUCCUUCAGGGUCCAAUUCCCUCCUCUGGGCUCCCACACCAGGUGCACCUUUCUCGCAGGCACUUGGCACCGUUCAGUUCCAUAUUUGUUGGUGAUUAUUUGAUUGAUAUCUGUCUCCCCACCGACUGUAAGCUCCCUGAGGGUGGGCACCACAACUGCAGAGGCUCACUCUUGCUAUUCCCUGGACACUCCAUAAAUAUUGAAAUAUUGGUUGAAUGGGUGCACAUGUGCCAGGAUCUGCAGCAGGUGCUAGAUAUUUCAGGAUUUCAGAGAGGGUGGAUUGAGGCCAUAAUUUCCCUCCAGCGGCUGCCGCCCAAGAGUCCCAUAUGCCGUUUCCUUAGCACCAUUCCUUUCUCCAUGUUUCCUGGUGUCAUCCAUCUUCCCAGCUCCGCCUCUCCGGUACCCUCCCCACCUCCACCUUGCCUAGGAGAACCUUUCUCCCUUUAGUUUUUUAGUGCCCCUUCCUGGUUUUGGCUCCUUGGCUUCAGAAGCCAGCAUGGAAUAAUGAGGCAAUAGCACAGGAUUCAGAAACAAAAUAUCUGGAUUCAAUAACAAGGUUAAAAGUAUUAGCGGUGUGACCUUCAGCAGGCUAAUAAACCACUCGGAACCCUAGCUUACAUAAAAUGGGAACAACUUCGAAAUCAAGCAAGUUGGAGGAAUUAGAAAACCUAAAAGCACCGUCAUCUAGAAAUACUGGAUAAAAUAUGAAAAAAAUUAAACAUAUGACUGAAUUCUCAAAAGGAAAGUAAAAUUCCAG
RNAcentral lists this long non-coding RNA (4635 nucleotides) under Equus asinus (donkey). RNAcentral's name for it is "lncRNA (ENSEASG00005030645.1)". The record is from RNAcentral. Lineage: Eukaryota; Metazoa; Chordata; Mammalia; Perissodactyla; Equidae.